Molecule: ribosomal RNA, 498 nt
Filed under: uncultured bacterium
Lineage: Bacteria
Description: bacterial SSU rRNA
Rfam family: Bacterial small subunit ribosomal RNA
Source: RNAcentral
CUACGUGCCAGCAGCCGCGGUAAUACGGAGGGUGCGAGCGUUAAUCGGAAUAACUGGGCGUAAAGGGCACGCAGGCGGUGACUUAAGUGAGGUGUGAAAGCCCCGGGCUUAACCUGGGAAUUGCAUUUCAUACUGGGUCGCUAGAGUACUUUAGGGAGGGGUAGAAUUCCACGUGUAGCGGUGAAAUGCGUAGAGAUGUGGAGGAAUACCGAAGGCGAAGGCAGCCCCUUGGGAAUGUACUGACGCUCAUGUGCGAAAGCGUGGGGAGCAAACAGGAUUAGAUACCCUGGUAGUCCACGCUGUAAACGAUGUCGAUUUGGGGGUUGAACUUUAAGUUUGGCACCCGUAGCUAACGUGAUAAAUCGACCGCCUGGGGAGUACGGCCGCAAGGUUAAAACUCAAAUGAAUUGACGGGGGCCCGCACAAGCGGUGGAGCAUGUGGUUUAAUUCGGUGCAACGCGAAGAACCUUACCUACUCUUGACAUCCAGAGAACAUUC